UUUUUUUUUUGUUUUUUUUUAAAUUCUGUACAUGUUUGAUCACGUGACAUUGUAAGAGAAAAUAAAAAAAAAAACACUAAAGAAAAACAAGAGGAAGAAAAAAUGUUUCUGUUUCGUCCACUUUGAAGUCAAUCAACAAUUGAAAGGGAAGUCAGUGUUGAAGGCAUUGGGUGGGUCACUCCUACUAGCAUCAUGACGUCAUGUUUUGAGCUUUUGAAUGUGAUGUUUUAUUUUAUUUCACUAUGUUUGCUACUUUUUCUUUUCUACAAUAAAAUGUUUGUUUUCAAAUAAAC
Molecule: non-coding RNA, 293 nt
Organism: Biomphalaria pfeifferi
Lineage: Eukaryota; Metazoa; Mollusca; Gastropoda; Planorbidae
Source: the annotation of a GenBank genome assembly